This 1648-nucleotide long non-coding RNA is filed under the name Salmo salar (Atlantic salmon). RNAcentral's name for it is "lncRNA (ENSSSAG00000089915.1)". Lineage: Eukaryota; Metazoa; Chordata; Actinopteri; Salmoniformes; Salmonidae. The record is from RNAcentral.
AUCAGUUUUCCUACUGUCAUGUCAGUCAUUGCAUACCUUAGAGCAGCGGUCCCCAACCUUUUUUGGGCCAUGGACUGGUUUAAUGUCAGACAAUAUUUUCACGGACCGGCCUUUAAGGUGUGGCGGAUAAAUACACAAAAUGAAAUGAUACGACCAGCAUGAAAACUGUGGUAUUUUUUAAAUAUAAUAAUAAACGUGAAUCCACUGUGUACUCGUAUGCAACUUUAUUAGCAGCGUCCUCGUAACAUCGCACCAACAACAUAACAUGAGUAACAUCCUCUAUGCCCCCUAACACUCUCUGGUCGCUAUGGUAACAUUUAAACAUGCCUUAAAAAUAAGAUACAACACAAAAACAAAUAUAAAGUGCAUGAAAAAUACAAUUCACCAUAACGCUAAAUCAGUGGGAGCCCUGAGCUUGUUUCUCUGCAACGAGACGGUCCCAUCUAGGGGUAAUGGGAGACAAUGACACCCGAAGUGUGUUGCUUAUGUCCAGUCUACUCCGUCAUUUUGUUUUGGUUGCUGUCACUGCAGAAAAUCCCGCUUCACACAAAUAGGAUGUCGGAAAUGGCAACAGGGUUUUCAAUGCUGUUGUGGCGAUCUCAGGGUAUUCUGCCGUGGCUUUAAUCCAGAACACCGGCAGAGUUGUUGUCUCGAACAUACUUUUAAGGCCGCCGUGACUUGCGAUCUCCAGCAGUUGAUCUUCUUCUUGCAUAGAUAUGCUGGAUUCACCUGGUUUGUUGACAAAUGGGUCGCGGAUCCAUUCCUUGGCAGUUCGUGGGUCUUUUGUGGUUGGGAAGUAGCGCUCAAACUCUUUUAAAAGCAAGGUGAUCGUGCACCAGCUGGGACAAUGAAGGCUCGGGCUCAGUCUCUUCCAAAAUCCCCGCGAAUGUUUGAAACAUGUCAAAUAUACCUCUGUUCACGCGCCGUCCCCACAAAUCCAGUUUGGCUUUAAAUGCAGCUACUUUAUCUGCCAACUUGAAGACAGUUGUCAUUUUCCCCUGAAGUGACCGAUUGAGUUCAUUGAGCAGGUUGAAUAUGUCGCACAAGUAAGCGGGUUUUGCGACCCAUUCCUCGUCACUGAAAUGUGCUGCCAGCGGUGACUUUUUUUCUAAGAGAAAUCUCUGCAGCGGCUCUCGUAAUUCAAACACUCUGUCCAGCGAUCUCCCUCGGGAUAACCAUCUUAUUUCUGUGUAUAAGAGAAGGUGUCUGUGCUCCGCGUUCAUUUUUCAAAAUAAAACAUCGUUCAGACUCAGAUAAUAAAUGAAACGGAAAUAAUCGGAUUACUGGGGGCCACUGUUCAAGAAGUCUACUGUGACCUGUAUGUGUCUCUCUAUGGAGGAGGUAGCCUACAAACAGAGCUCAGUAUUUCAUCUCUCUCUCUCUCUCUCUCUCUCGCUCUCUCUCUGUCACAUCUCUCUCUCUUUCUCUCUCUCUUGCUCCCUCUCUUUCUCUCUCUGUCUCACUGUCUCUCUCUCUCUUUCUCUCUCUCUCUCGCUCUCUCACUUUCUCUCUCUCUCUUUCUCUCUCUCUCUCUUUCUCUCUCUCUCACUCUCUCUCUGUCACAUCUCUCUCUCUUUCUCUCUCUCUCUUUCUCUCUCUCUUGCUCUCUCUCUUUCUCGCUCUGUCUCGCUGUCUCUCUCUCUCUUUG